Molecule: ribosomal RNA, 223 nt
Filed under: uncultured bacterium
Lineage: Bacteria
Description: partial 16S ribosomal RNA
Rfam family: Bacterial small subunit ribosomal RNA
Source: RNAcentral
CAACGUGGGUAAUCUGCCCUUCGAUGGGGAAUAACUCGCCGAAAGGCGAGCUAAUUCCGCAUAACAUUCCAAGUACUUCGGUUUUUGGACUCAAAGGCGUAAGUCGUCGGAGGAGGAGCCCGCGCACGAUUAGCUAGUUGGUGAGGUAAUGGCUCACCAAGGCUAUGAUCGUUAGCUGGUCUGAGAGGAUGGCCAGCCACACUGGAACUGAGACACGGUCCAG